RNAcentral lists this ribosomal RNA (229 nucleotides) under uncultured bacterium. RNAcentral's name for it is "partial 16S ribosomal RNA". It matches the Rfam family "Bacterial small subunit ribosomal RNA", at positions 568 to 796 of the family's 1533-position model. The record is from RNAcentral.
UGCGCAGGCGGGGUAGUAAGUCAGUGGUGAAAUCCUGCGGCUCAACCGUAGAACUGCCAUUGAAACUGCUAUCCUUGAGUGUAGUUGAGGUGGGCAGAAUGUGUAAUGUAGCGGUGAAAUGCAUAGAUAUUACACAGAACACCGAUUGCGAAGGCAGCUCACUAAACUACUACUGACGCUGAGGCACGAAAGCGUGGGGAGCGAACAGGAUUAGAUACCCUGGUAGUCC